Molecule: ribosomal RNA, 466 nt
Filed under: uncultured bacterium
Lineage: Bacteria
Description: partial 16S ribosomal RNA
Rfam family: Bacterial small subunit ribosomal RNA
Source: RNAcentral
GACGAACGCUGGCGGCGUGCUUAACACAUGCAAGUCGAACGGUAAGGCUCCAGCUUGCUGGGGUACACGAGUGGCGAAUGGGUGAGUAACACGUGGGUGACCUGCCCUGCACUUCGGGAUAAGCCUGGGAAACUGGGUCAAAUACCGGAUAGGACCAUGGUGUGGAUACUGUGGUGGAAAGUUUUUUCGGUGUGGGAUGGGCCCGCGGCCUAUCAGCUUGUUGGUGGGGUAAUGGCCUACCAAGGCGGCGACGGGUAGCCGGCCUGAGAGGGUGGACGGCCACAUUGGGACUGAGACACGGCCCAGACUCCUACGGGAGGCAGCAGUGGGGAAUAUUGCACAAUGGGCGGAAGCCUGAUGCAGCGACGCCGCGUGGGGGAUGACGGCCUUCGGGUUGUAAACUCCUUUCACCAUCGACGAAGGGUUUCUGACGGUAGAUGGAGAAGAAGCACCGGCUAACUACGUG